GGGUCAGUAGGUUGGUCGUGCCACCGGUACGUACUGGUCUCACUGAUUCCUCCUUCCUGAAGAACCGUAAGGCCAUUAAUUUGGUGUUGCGGGGAAACAGGACUGUUACUUUGAAAAAAUUAGAGUGUUUAAAGCAAGCUAACGCUUGAAUACAUUAGCAAGGAAUAAUGAAAUAGGACGAUCGAUCCUAUUUUGUUGGUUUCUAGGAUUGACGUA
This 216-nucleotide ribosomal RNA is filed under the name Glomeromycotina sp. RNAcentral's name for it is "partial small subunit ribosomal RNA". The stretch from base 40 to 216 matches the Rfam family "Eukaryotic small subunit ribosomal RNA", at positions 686 to 864 of the family's 1831-position model. Lineage: Eukaryota; Fungi; Glomeromycota. The record is from RNAcentral.